RNAcentral lists this microRNA precursor (101 nucleotides) under Jatropha curcas. Its description in RNAcentral is "MIR2275 microRNA precursor family". It matches the Rfam family "MIR2275 microRNA precursor family". The record is from Rfam by way of RNAcentral. Lineage: Eukaryota; Viridiplantae; Streptophyta; Magnoliopsida; Malpighiales; Euphorbiaceae.
AUCUUGAAUAUGAGAGUUGGAGGAAGCUAAAUCAUUUGCUGUAAUUCAUCAUGAACUCCAAUCACAUGGUUUAGUUUCCUCCAAUAUCUCACCUUCAAUGG